This 468-nucleotide ribosomal RNA is filed under the name uncultured bacterium. RNAcentral's name for it is "partial 16S ribosomal RNA". It matches the Rfam family "Bacterial small subunit ribosomal RNA", at positions 28 to 507 of the family's 1533-position model. The record is from RNAcentral.
GACGAACGCUGGCGGCGUGCUUAACACAUGCAAGUCGAACGGAAAGGCCCUGCUUUUGUGGGGUGCUCGAGUGGCGAACGGGUGAGUAACACGUGAGUAACCUGCCCUUGACUUUGGGAUAACUUCAGGAAACUGGGGCUAAUACCGGAUAGGAGCUCCUGCUGCAUGGUGGGGGUUGGAAAGUUUCGGCGGUUGGGGAUGGACUCGCGGCUUAUCAGCUUGUUGGUGGGGUAGUGGCUUACCAAGCCUUUGCUGGGUAGCCGGCCUGAGAGGGUGACCGGCCCCAUUGGGACUGAGAUACGGCCCAGACUCCUACGGGAGGCAGCAGUGGGGAAUAUUGCACAAUGGGCGGAAGCCUGAUGCAGCAACGCCGCGUGCGGGAUGACUGCCUUCGGGCUGUAAACCGCUUGCGCCUGUGACGAAGCGUGAGUGACGGUAAUGGGUAAAGAAGCACCGGCUAACUACGUG